UGGAUUAGUGGCGAACGGGUGAGUAACACGUGAGUAACCUGCCCUUAACUCUGGGAUAAGCCUGGGAAACUGGGUCUAAUACCGGAUAGGAGCGUCCACCGCAUGGUGGGUGUUGGAAAGAUUUAUCGGUUUUGGAUGGACUCGCGGCCUAUCAGCUUGUUGGUGAGGUAAUGGCUCACCAAGGCGACGACGGGUAGCCGGCCUGAGAGGGUGACCGGCCACACUGGGACUGAGACACGGCCCAGACUCCUACGGGAGGCAGCAGUGGGGAAUAUUGCACAAUGGGCGAAAGCCUGAUGCAGCGACGCCGCGUGAGGGAUGACGGCCUUCGGGUUGUAAACCUCUUUCAGUAGGGAAGAAGCGAAAGUGACGGUACCUGCAGAAGAAGCACCGGCUAACUACGUGCCAGCAGCCGCGGUAAUACGUAGGGUGCGAGCGUUAUCCGGAAUUAUUGGGCGUAAAGAGCUCGUAGGCGGUUUGUCGCGUCUGUCGUGAAAGUCCGGGGCUUAACCCCGGAUCUGCGGUGGGUACGGGCAGACUAGAGUGCAGUAGGGGAGACUGGAAUUCCUGGUGUAGCGGUGGAAUGCGCAGAUAUCAGGAGGAACACCGAUGGCGAAGGCAGGUCUCUGGGCUGUAACUGACGCUGAGGAGCGAAAGCAUGGGGAGCGAACAGGA
Molecule: ribosomal RNA, 675 nt
Filed under: Micrococcus luteus
Lineage: Bacteria; Bacillati; Actinomycetota; Actinomycetes; Micrococcales; Micrococcaceae
Description: bacterial SSU rRNA
Rfam family: Bacterial small subunit ribosomal RNA
Source: RNAcentral